Molecule: ribosomal RNA, 433 nt
Filed under: uncultured bacterium
Lineage: Bacteria
Description: partial 16S ribosomal RNA
Rfam family: Bacterial small subunit ribosomal RNA
Source: RNAcentral
GACGAACGCUGGCGGCAUGCCUAACACAUGCAAGUCGAACGAGAACUUCGGGUCUAUUGGCGCACGGGUGCGUAACGCGUGGGAACCUGCACUUAGGUUCGGAAUACCUCCCCGAAAGGGGUGCUAAUACCGGAUAAUGUCUUCGGCCCAAAGAUUUAUCGCCUUUGGAUGGGCCCGCGUUGGAUUCGCUAGUUGGUAGGGUAAUAGCCUACCAAGGCGACGAUCCAUAGCUGGUCUGAGAGGAUGAUCAGCCACACUGGGACUGAGACACGGCCCAGACUCCUACGGGAGGCAGCAGUGGGGAAUAUUGCACAAUGGGGGAAAGCCUGAUCCAGCAAUGCCGGGUGAGUGAUGAAGGCCGUAGGGUUGUAAAGCUCUUUUACCCGGGAUGAUAAUGACAGUACCGGGAGAAUAAGCUCCGGCUAACUCCGUG